Molecule: long non-coding RNA, 1039 nt
Filed under: Nicotiana benthamiana
Lineage: Eukaryota; Viridiplantae; Streptophyta; Magnoliopsida; Solanales; Solanaceae
Description: long non-coding RNA (NBEN_LNC006304)
Source: RNAcentral
AAGUAAUGAAAAAGAAAAAGUUAUGUAGUUGGACCAUCUGUUAUAUCCGUUCGAGUUUUGGUAAUUGAGAGAGUCAUCAUAUCAGUGCCUUGGGGAAAUGCCUACCUUCAGGAGAAGAUUACCGAAUGAGUUUCAAACCUGUCCUCUUCGCUUCCCAAGAUAUUUAGGGAAAGGGGCCUUGUCGGCCACCGCUUGCUGACGACGGAACGCAUCGUCAAUUAACGGGUCCUCGCCUUGGACUUAGUUGGAAAGGUAGGUGUUCGGCAUGUCCCUUGCUUGCGAACUUCUUUAGUCCCUUUCCUCUUCGCUUCCCAAGAUAUUUAGGGAAAGGGGCCUUGUCAACCACCGCUUGCUGACGACGGAACGCAUCGUCAAUUAACGGGCCCUCGCCUUGGACUUAGUUGGAAAGGUAGGUGUUCGGCAUGUCCCUUGCUUGCGAACUUCUUUAGUAGGGCGGAGGUGCCAUUCCUCACGUUUACCGUUGUCCCCAGACUUCACUCUUUCAACACUUGUAUACUUUCUAAAGAGUCAGGCAUGCCCCUGUCCCUGUCUCCAAGUGUGUGAUCCACCGAUUCACUGAGUGACUUUUUCUUACCGCUGCGCUUACGUCCCUCUCUCUUAAAGCCCUAUCAGACUUCCCUUGCCGAUUGAAGAAAGCCUUAUAUGGCUUCAAACAAGCGAGAAAGGCCCUUUCUAUCUUAUUAGUCAAGCGCGCUAGCUGCAAUCAAAAAACAGCGCUAACGAGCAAGAAAACGGAUGCGCUAAGGCGCAACUUCGCGCAGCUGCUGCGCCCUUGCUUCUUGCUUUCGAGCCGGAGCUUGCUGGGUAGUGAAGUGGUCCGUGAAGGUUAAAUAAGACUUGUGUUAAGCAAGCAGAGUAGUCAAGCCAGAGAGGAAAAAAAAGCAAGAAGCUGUUUUCGUUCGAUCGACGGAAUCAAUCGUACUUUCACUGCUGUGGACCGGCUUUCAUAAAGCACCUUUGGGCAGCAGCAACUAUUGGGAUCCAAUUUCGAGAUCAAUUCGACAAUGAAACUCUUUAA